Molecule: ribosomal RNA, 468 nt
Filed under: uncultured bacterium
Lineage: Bacteria
Description: partial 16S ribosomal RNA
Rfam family: Bacterial small subunit ribosomal RNA
Source: RNAcentral
GACGAACGCUGGCGGCGUGCUUAACACAUGCAAGUCGAACGGAAAGGCCCUGCUUUUGUGGGGUGCUCGAGUGGCGAACGGGUGAGUAACACGUGAGUAACCUGCCCUUGACUUUGGGAUAACUUCAGGAAACUGGGGCUAAUACCGGAUAGGAGCUCCUGCUGCAUGGUGGGGGUUGGAAAGUUUCGGCGGUGGGGGAUGGACUCGCGGCUUAUCAGCUUGUUGGUGGGGUGGUGGCUUACCAAGGCUUUGACGGGUAGCCGGCCUGAGAGGGUGACCGGCCACAUUGGGACUGAGAUACGGCCCAGACUCCUACGGGAGGCAGCAGUGGGGAAUAUUGCACAAUGGGCGGAAGCCUGAUGCAGCAACGCCGCGUGCGGGAUGACGGCCUUCGGGUUGUAAACCGCUUUCGCCUGUGACGAAGCGUGAGUGACGGUAAUGGGUAAAGAAGCACCGGCUAACUACGUG